AAAAUUUAAAGGACGCGGUAACCUUGACCGUGAUAAUGUAGCAUAAUCAUUCGCCAUUUAAUUGAUGGAUAGUAUGAAUGGUUGAACGAAUAUUUCACUGUCUUAAAAAGAAAUAACAAAAAACUAGGAUAAUAGUAAAGACACUAUUUCAGAUUGUAAGACGAAAAGACCCUAUAGAGCUUAACUAUAAUCUUUUUACAUAAAAAGAAUAUAAUUCCUAAAUAAAAAGAUUGGUAGUUUAGUUGGGGCGACUAUCUUUUAAAAAAAACAAAGAUAAGCAAAGUAAAUAAAAAAACUUAUUGUAUAAAACAUAAAUUUAACAGUUAUAAAAAUAGGCUAUAAUGACCCGUUGUUUUUAUAUAAAAAAUACAACGAUCAAUAAAUAAAAGCUACCUUAGGGAUAACAGGAUAAUUUUAUUCUAGAGACCUAAUCGAAAAUAAAGUUUGUCACCUCUAUGUUGAAUUAAGA
This 469-nucleotide ribosomal RNA is filed under the name Dynamena disticha. RNAcentral's name for it is "partial 16S ribosomal RNA". It matches the Rfam family "Bacterial large subunit ribosomal RNA", at positions 1919 to 2542 of the family's 2925-position model. The record is from RNAcentral. Lineage: Eukaryota; Metazoa; Cnidaria; Hydrozoa; Leptothecata; Sertulariidae.